GUACACUCCUACGGGAGGCAUCAGUGGGGAAUAUUGGACAAUGGGCGCAAGCCUGAUCCAGCCAUGCCGCGUGAGUGAUGAAGGCCCUAGGGUUGUAAAGCUCUUUCACCGGUGAAGAUAAUGACGGUAACCGGAGAAGAAGCCCCGGCUAACUUCGUGCCAGCAGCCGCGGUAAUACGAAGGGGGCUAGCGUUGUUCGGAUUUACUGGGCGUAAAGCGCACGUAGGCGGACUAUUAAGUCAGGGGUGAAAUCCCGGGGCUCAACCCCGGAACUGCCUUUGAUACUGGUAGUCUUGAGUUCGAGAGAGGUGAGUGGAAUUCCGAGUGUAGAGGUGAAAUUCGUAGAUAUUCGGAGGAACACCAGUGGCGAAGGCGGCUCACUGGCUCGAUACUGACGCUGAGGUGCGAAAGCGUGGGGAGCAAACAGGAUUAGAAACCCCAGUAGUCCCAUG
RNAcentral lists this ribosomal RNA (452 nucleotides) under uncultured organism. RNAcentral's name for it is "partial 16S ribosomal RNA". It matches the Rfam family "Bacterial small subunit ribosomal RNA", at positions 331 to 799 of the family's 1533-position model. The record is from RNAcentral.